AGCAGCCGCGGUAAUUCCAGCUCCAAUAGCGUAUAUUAAAGUUGUUGCAGUUAAAAAGCUCGUAGUUGAAUUUCGGGGUUCUACCGUCGGUCGGGCUUUGUCUGUACUGGCGUGUAGAAUUUCUACCUUCUGGGGAACCAUCAUGUCAUUAAUUUAACGUGGUGGGAAACCAGGACCUUUACCUUGAAAAAAUUAGAGUGUUCAAAGCAGGCUUAUGUCUGAAUACAUUAGCAUGGAAUAAUAAAAUAGGACGGUGGUCCUGUUUUGUUGGUUUCUGAAUCACCGUAAUGAUUAAUAGGGAUAGUUGGGGGCAUUAGUAUUCAAUUGUCAGAGGUGAAAUUCUUGGAUUUAU
This 352-nucleotide ribosomal RNA is filed under the name uncultured Racocetra. Its description in RNAcentral is "SSU rRNA". It matches the Rfam family "Eukaryotic small subunit ribosomal RNA", at positions 569 to 929 of the family's 1831-position model. The record is from RNAcentral. Lineage: Eukaryota; Fungi; Glomeromycota; Glomeromycetes; Diversisporales; Gigasporaceae.